This 253-nucleotide ribosomal RNA is filed under the name uncultured bacterium. RNAcentral's name for it is "partial 16S ribosomal RNA". It matches the Rfam family "Bacterial small subunit ribosomal RNA", at positions 524 to 776 of the family's 1533-position model. The record is from RNAcentral.
UACGAAGGGUGCAAACGUUGCUCGGAAUUACUGGGCGUAAAGCGCGUGUAGGUGGCGAUGUAAGUCGGGUGUGAAAUCCCUCGGCUCAACCGAGGAAGUGCACUCGAUACUGUGUCGCUUGAGUGUUGGAGGGGAUGGCGGAAUUCCCGGUGUAGAGGUGAAAUUCGUAGAUAUCGGGAGGAACACCUGUGGCGAAGGCGGCCAUCUGGACAACUACUGACACUGAGACGCGAAAGCGUGGGUAGCAAACAGG